This 455-nucleotide ribosomal RNA is filed under the name uncultured bacterium. RNAcentral's name for it is "bacterial SSU rRNA". It matches the Rfam family "Bacterial small subunit ribosomal RNA", at positions 340 to 786 of the family's 1533-position model. The record is from RNAcentral.
UACGGAAGGCAGCAGUGGGGAAGUAUUGCACAAUGGGCGGCAAGCCUGAUGCAGCCAUGCCGCGUGUAUGAAGAAGGCCUUCGGGUUGUAAAGUACUUUCAGUCGUGAGGAAGGUGUUAAGGUUAAUAACCUUAGCAAUUGACGUUAGCGACAGAAGAAGCACCGGCUAACUCCGUGCCAGCAGCCGCGGUAAUACGGAGGGUGCGAGCGUUAAUCGGAAUUACUGGGCGUAAAGGGCACGCAGGCGGUUAAUUAAGUUGGAUGUGAAAUCCCCGGGCUUAACCUGGGAAUGGCAUUCAAGACUGGUUAGCUAGAGUCUUGUAGAGGGGGUAGAAUUCCAUGUGUAGCGGUGAAAUGCGUAGAGAUGUGGAGGAAUACCGGUGGCGAAGGCGGCCCCUGGACAAAGACUGACGCUCAUGUGCGAAAGCGUGGGGAGCAAACAGGGAUUAGAUACC